CCUACGGGAGGCAGCAGUGAGGAAUAUUGGUCAAUGGGAGAGAUCCUGAACCAGCCAAGCCGCGUGAGGGAAGACGGCCCUAUGGGUUGUAAACCUCUUUUGUCGGAGAACAAAACCCGGUACGUGUACCGGACUGCGUGUAUCCGAAGAAAAAGCAUCGGCUAACUCCGUGCCAGCAGCCGCGGUAAUACGGAGGAUGCGAGCGUUAUCCGGAUUUAUUGGGUUUAAAGGGUGCGUAGGCGGUCCGUUAAGUCAGCGGUAAAAUUGCGGGGCUCAACCCUGUAGAGCCGUUGAAACUGGCAGACUAGAGAUUGCUAGAAGUACGCGGAAUGCGCGGUGUAGCGGGGAAAUGCAUAGAGAUCGCACAGAACACCGAUUGCGAAGGCAGCGUACC
RNAcentral lists this ribosomal RNA (394 nucleotides) under uncultured bacterium. RNAcentral's name for it is "partial 16S ribosomal RNA". It matches the Rfam family "Bacterial small subunit ribosomal RNA", at positions 338 to 730 of the family's 1533-position model. The record is from RNAcentral.